Molecule: long non-coding RNA, 1026 nt
Organism: Osmia bicornis bicornis
Lineage: Eukaryota; Metazoa; Arthropoda; Insecta; Hymenoptera; Megachilidae
Exons: 4
Source: RefSeq, a predicted model, not a curated record
UGUUCUUUUAUUUAUUUACCAGUGAAUAUUGUGGAUCUUUCUUUAUCUUUGUCCUUGUUUAACUUUGUAUACUUUACCAUUUAUUCCCUAUUCUACACAAUUUGCAGUUUCACCAAAUUUCACAUCUUAUUUUAUACUCUUUAUUCCAGGUUAUGGAUUUACUAAAUCACCUCUCAUCUGUGUAUAUUUCAACCCCAAUUUUCUGAGUCUUUCUACUACUACUACUACUACUAUUACCAGCGAAAUGGGUAGCAGCGUAUUAAGAUAAGUACCCGUAUUUCUGUUAUCUGCAUACUUUACUGUCUGUCUGACUAACCUUUCUUUGUAUAUAUAUAUAAUAUUUGCUUUGCUAUUUCAGUAUCUACUGUAAUAACCCAUUUCCUAUCCUGAAUUUUAAUGCUUUCUAGGCUAAGGUUAACACCGGAUACUUUCAGGUCUGUUGUUUUUCCUUUUUUACUUUAUUAUAUAUAAUUCCUUCUCUUUUACCCUAUUUCAACUAUAAUCUUUUCGUUCAUUGAUGCAGUUUCACCGGAAUACUUGUGUUAAUUUCUUUGUUCACUUUCCAGUCAUCAAAAGGUCUGCUUGUGAUCUUGCCAAGAUACCAGUGCCGGCUACGCGGGACAUGAUCAUGGUUAAUGUGCUGCUAUUUUUGUUGCUGUUGUUGGAUUUCUCAACAUUGUCUACAGAGUCCUCAGGUUCUGUUCUUUCCACCUUGUGGGAUAUAUAUUCCGUUCCAAGUCUCUUCUCUCUUGUGCCCAUCUUGGACAGUGGAAGAGCGUAUGGACUACCUCAUCUACCGCUUCGUUACAGAACCAGCAACUGCUAUUUUCCUCUUUCUUAAUUUUAUGGAUGCCCUCUACGCAUUUUUUUUCCAGUAAGCAGAAUUGCCUCUGACUUCUGGGGUGCUAGUUUUAGGCCUUCUCCCUGGAACCAGGAGCCCAUCGUACACCAAGUUCCACAUGAACGGUCCAAUCACCGAUCCCUGUGGAACUCCUCCAAACACCUGGAUUCUAUCGGUCCCGUCCG